GUGGGGAAUAUUGGACAAUGGGCGCAAGCCUGAUCCAGCAAUGCCGCGUGCAGGAAGAAGGCCUUCGGGUUGUAAACUGCUUUUGUACGGAACGAAACGGUCCGGGUUAAUACCCUGGGCUAAUGACGGUACCGUAAGAAUAAGCACCGGCUAACUACGUGCCAGCAGCCGCGGUAAUACGUAGGGUGCAAGCGUUAAUCGGAAUUACUGGGCGUAAAGCGUGCGCAGGCGGUUUUGUAAGACAGGCGUGAAAUCCCCGGGCUCAACCUGGGAAUUGCGCUUGUGACUGCAAGGCUGGAGUGCGGCAGAGGGGGAUGGAAUUCCGCGUGUAGCAGUGAAAUGCGUAGAUAUGCGGAGGAACACCGAUGGCGAAGGCAAUCCCCUGGGCCUGCACUGACGCUCAUGCACGAAAGCGUGGGGAGCAAACAGGAUUAGAUACCCUAGUAGUCC
RNAcentral lists this ribosomal RNA (450 nucleotides) under uncultured bacterium. RNAcentral's name for it is "partial 16S ribosomal RNA". It matches the Rfam family "Bacterial small subunit ribosomal RNA", at positions 354 to 796 of the family's 1533-position model. The record is from RNAcentral.